AGCUCUAAUAACGUAUAUUAAAGUUGUUGCAGUUAAAAAGCUCGUAGUUGGACUUUUAUUAUUUAAUAAUUAAUCUAUCGUGAAGAUAAGUAUUAUUUAUUAAUAAUUUUUUAAUAUAAAUAUUUCUAUUUUUUUCUUAAUUGAUUAAAGUAUGAAAUUUUAUACAUUUACUGUGAGUAAAUUAGAGUGUUUAAAGCAAUCUCUUUGGAUUUUGAAUAUCAUUAGCAUGGGAUAAUAAAAUAAGAUUUUCUUAUUAUUUUUUAUUGGUUAGUUAAUAAGAAAGUAAUGAUUAAUAGGAAUAGUUUAGGAUAUUAAUACUUUAGUGGAAGAAGUGAAAUUUUAUGAUCACUAAAAGAUUAACAACUGCGAAAGCAUUUAUCAAGGAUGUUUUCA
This 393-nucleotide ribosomal RNA is filed under the name uncultured eukaryote. Its description in RNAcentral is "partial small subunit ribosomal RNA". It matches the Rfam family "Eukaryotic small subunit ribosomal RNA", at positions 587 to 972 of the family's 1831-position model. The record is from RNAcentral.